RNAcentral lists this ribosomal RNA (229 nucleotides) under uncultured bacterium. RNAcentral's name for it is "partial 16S ribosomal RNA". It matches the Rfam family "Bacterial small subunit ribosomal RNA", at positions 118 to 347 of the family's 1533-position model. The record is from RNAcentral.
UGGGCAACCUGCCCUCAGCUCUGGGAUAACUCCAAGAAAUUGGGGCUGAUACCGGAUAUGACCGCUGACCGCAUGGUCUGGUGGUGGAAAGAUUUAUCGGCUGGGGAUGGGCCCGCGGCCUAUCAGCUUGUUGGUGGGGUAGUGGCCUACCAAGGCGACGACGGGUAGCCGGCCUGAGAGGGUGACCGGCCACACUGGGACUGAGACACGGCCCAGACUCCUACGGGAG